CAGCCGCCGCGGUAAUACGUGGGGUGCGAGCGUUAAUCGGAAUUACUGGGCGUAAAGCGUGCGCAGGCGGUUGUGUAAGACAGGUGUGAAAUCCCCGGGCUUAACCUGGGAACUGCGCUUGUGACUGCACGGCUAGAGUAUGGCAGAGGGGGGUGGAAUUCCACGUGUAGCAGUGAAAUGCGUAGAGAUGUGGAGGAACACCGAUGGCGAAGGCAGCCCCCUGGGCCAAUACUGACGCUCAUGCACGAAAGCGUGGGGAGCAUACAGGAUUAGAUACCCCGGUAGUCCCUGUCUCUUAUAA
RNAcentral lists this ribosomal RNA (301 nucleotides) under uncultured bacterium. Its description in RNAcentral is "partial 16S ribosomal RNA". It matches the Rfam family "Bacterial small subunit ribosomal RNA", at positions 509 to 809 of the family's 1533-position model. The record is from RNAcentral.